RNAcentral lists this ribosomal RNA (253 nucleotides) under uncultured Lachnospiraceae bacterium. RNAcentral describes it as "partial 16S ribosomal RNA". It matches the Rfam family "Bacterial small subunit ribosomal RNA", at positions 524 to 776 of the family's 1533-position model. Lineage: Bacteria; Bacillati; Bacillota; Clostridia; Lachnospirales; Lachnospiraceae. The record is from RNAcentral.
UACGGAAGGUCCGGGCGUUAUCCGGAUUUACUGGGCGUAAAGGGAGCGUAGGCGGCCUGCCAAGUCUGAUGUGAAAUACCGGGGCUCAACCCCGAGGCUGCAUUGGAAACUGGCAGGCUGGAGUGCCGGAGAGGCAGGCGGAAUUCCUAGUGUAGCGGUGAAAUGCGUAGAUAUUAGGAGGAACACCAGUGGCGAAGGCGGCUUACUGGACUGUAACUGACGUUGAGGCUCGAAAGCGUGGGGAGCAAACAGG